GACGAACGCUGGCGGCGUGCUUAACACAUGCAAGUCGAACGGUAAGGCCCUUCGGGGUACACGAGUGGCGAACGGGUGAGUAACACGUGGGUGAUCUGCCCUGCACUUCGGGAUAAGCCUGGGAAACUGGGUCUAAUACCGGAUAGGACCACUGCCUGCAUGGGUGGUGGUGGAAAGCUUUUGCGGUGUGGGAUGGGCCCGCGGCCUAUCAGCUUGUUGGUGGGGUGAUGGCCUAACCAGGCGACGACGGGUAGCCGGCCUGAGAGGGUGACCGGCCACACUGGGACUGAGAUACGGCCCAGACUCCUACGGGAGGCAGCAGUGGGGAAUAUUGCACAAUGGGCGCAAGCCUGAUGCAGCGACGCCGCGUGAGGGAUGACGGCCUUCGGGUUGUAAACCUCUUUCAGCACCGACGAAGCGCAAGUGACGGUAGGUGCAGAAGAAGGACCGGCCAACUACGUGCCAGCAGCCGCCGUAA
RNAcentral lists this ribosomal RNA (478 nucleotides) under uncultured bacterium. RNAcentral's name for it is "partial 16S ribosomal RNA". It matches the Rfam family "Bacterial small subunit ribosomal RNA", at positions 28 to 523 of the family's 1533-position model. The record is from RNAcentral.